CCUACGGGUGGCAGCAGUGGGGAAUAUUGGGCAAUGGGCGCAAGCCUGACCCAGCAACGCCGCGUGAAGGAAGAAGGCUUUCGGGUUUUAAACUUCUUUUCUCAGGGACGAAGCAAGUGACGGUACCUGAGGAAUAAGCCACGGCUAACUACGUGCCAGCAGCCGCGGUAAUACGUAGGUGGCAAGCGUUAUCCGGAUUUACUGGGUGUAAAGGGCGUGUAGGCGGGAAAGCAAGUCAGAUGUGAAAACCAUGGGCUCAACCUGUGGCCUGCAUUUGAGACUGUUUUGCUUGAGUACUGGAGAGGCAGACGGAAUUCCUAGUGUAGCGGUGAAAUGCGUAGAGAUUAGGAGGAACACCAGUGGCGAAGGCGGUCUGCUGGACAGCAACUGACGCUGAGGCGCGAAAGCGUGGGGAGCAAACAGGAUUAGAUACCCGAGUAGUC
RNAcentral lists this ribosomal RNA (443 nucleotides) under uncultured bacterium. Its description in RNAcentral is "partial 16S ribosomal RNA". It matches the Rfam family "Bacterial small subunit ribosomal RNA", at positions 338 to 795 of the family's 1533-position model. The record is from RNAcentral.